AAAAUUUUGGUUCCUAACCGGACCAUUAGCCCUAAGAGAGUUUUGUACAUUGACAUGGACAUGGGCCCAACGCCCAAUCCAUUACAUGGAAAAUGAAAAGUUCCUAUUCCUCCUAAAAUAUUUGCCCCUUGUCCAAGAGAAUUCAAUACGCUUCAGUUCACUCCACCGUCGUUUAGUAAUGUUUCCUCUGAGUUGGUCACAUCACUUCAUUUCAUACCUCCUCUGAGUAAUCUUCAAUCUUGCACCAUUAUCGCCAUUGUUGUUUCUCUUUCUAUCUCCGUCAUUGGCCUCAAGAAUCGAGGCUAAGGAGAAACAAUGGGCAGACGAAAGGAAUGGCACCACUACAGCAGCAAAGAAACUCCAAUUAAAUGACACUCCCCCGUAACUACAGUAAAGUUCAUGAAUCUGGUGCUUCCACAAGUGUGCAAUGCGCCAACCCUGAUGGAAUGAUGAAUAAAGCUACUAAGCAUCAAAAUAAUGAAACAAUAAUACCAGAUCUCACAAAGGAGGAAGCAAGAGGAAAGAGAAGGGGAAGGCUCCUAUUGAAUCAUGGGUGAAUCUCUUUGAAAAGAAUAGAUAUGCAGCAAAUGGUAUGUCUCUGAAUUAUGUAGCCCCAAUAGUAGAGAAUGGACAACGUAUAGUUGAAUUAGAUGAGGCUGAGAUAGCUAAGGAAACCUAGAAAUGCAAGUGUGAACUAAUUGAUUAUGUAACUAGAGCAAACCCCGAAUAUAAUGCGAUGAUGCGAUAUAUCAACCAAAUUAGAAGGAAAUAGCCCAACCAGAGUUAUAUAUGCAUGAGGAAGGAUAUUCAUUGUCAGAUUUAACUCACUACAUGAUCUACAUGAAGUAUUAUACUCA
Capsicum annuum is the source of this 857-nucleotide long non-coding RNA. RefSeq lists it as uncharacterized. The record is from RefSeq and is a predicted model, not a curated record. NCBI's taxonomy places the organism in Eukaryota, Viridiplantae, Streptophyta, Magnoliopsida, Solanales, Solanaceae. The transcript is spliced from 2 exons.